ACCCCCGGAUGCCUCAGUGUCCCCCCCAUUGGCACCAAGGCUUGUGUGUGCCUCAGUUUCCCCACGGGGGAUGAGGUGGAGGGGGUCCUCUGGAGACACCUGAGUCCCUUUUUCAGGGGUGGGGGGUCCCUCCUGGAUACCUGAAGGGAAAUGGGGGGGGGUCUCACCUGGCUGCCCCUCCCCCACAGGAGAAGGAGGAGCUGCUGGGGGGGGCUGAGAACGGGCCCAGGCCCCCCCCGGGGCCCCCCCUGCGCCUCUGCCCCAUCAAGGAGGAAGCAGGACCCCUCCCCCGCCUCGAGGUGAGACCCCCCGGCUGCCUGGGACCCCCCCUGCACACCUGGGACCCCCCCGUGACCCCCCCUGCCCCCCAGGACCCUCGCCUGGGGCUCCUCAUCGCCUCGGCCCCGCGCCUCAAGGGGGCCCCCCCGGAGCCCAGCGUGGCCCCCCAAAGGCCCCCCCCGGGGGAUCUGGGGGUCCUGAUCGCCGCCACCCCCCGCGUGAAGCAGGAGCAGCCGCAGCCCAGCGCGUCCCUGGUGCCGGUAAGGGGGGAAACUCUGCGGUUUGGGGGGGUCCCUGCGGUUUGGGGGGUCCUGAGCCUCUGCCUUCACCCCCAGGUGCCCCCCCAGCCUCCCCCUCCCCAGCUGGUGGUGCUGGAUGAGAGUGAGGAGGAGGAAGAAGAGGAAGAGGAGGGCGGCAGCCAAGUGGUGAGGAAGAGGGGGGGUCAGAGGAUUUGGGGGGAUCCUGGGGGGGCUUUUUGACGGGUGAGGGGUCUUGGGAAGGGGUUGGGGGUGUCCUGGGAGUGGCUUUAAAGGGAAUUUGGGGAGAGGGGUCUGACAAAUGGGAACUUUAGGUGGGAUUUUGGUGAGCUAGGGAAGGGAUUUUUGGGGCUGGG
Molecule: long non-coding RNA, 892 nt
Filed under: Junco hyemalis (dark-eyed junco)
Lineage: Eukaryota; Metazoa; Chordata; Aves; Passeriformes; Passerellidae
Description: lncRNA (ENSJHYG00000001175.1)
Source: RNAcentral